GAUGAACGCUAGCAGAACGCCUAACACAUGCAAGUCGAACGAAUAUUGAUUUUCGGAUUAAUAUUAGUGGCAAACGGCGAGUAACACGUAUCUAACCUGCCCUUGAGUGAGGCACAACUAUGGAGACAUAGCUAAUUCCUCAUACGUCCCGAUAAAUGAAAAUAAUCGGGAGAAAGAAUUUAUCGCUCAAGGAGGGGGUGCGGCCUAUCAGGUAGUUGGUGAGGUAAUGGCUCACCAAGCCUAUGACGGGUAGCCGGUCUGAGAGGAUGUCCGGCCGCAAUGGAGCUGAGAACGGUCCAUACUCCUACGGGAGGCAGCAGUGGGGGAAUAUUGGGACCAAAUGGGCGGAAAGACCUGAUCCAGCGAUUCUGCGUGAAGG
Molecule: ribosomal RNA, 379 nt
Filed under: uncultured bacterium
Lineage: Bacteria
Description: bacterial SSU rRNA
Rfam family: Bacterial small subunit ribosomal RNA
Source: RNAcentral